CCUUCCGCAAGAUUAGAACUCCUCACAAGGGUCGUCACAGACGAUGACGUUGAUAGGGUGCAGGUGUAAAGACGGCGACGUCAAAGCCGAGCACUACUAAUUGCCCGAAACUUUCAUU
This 118-nucleotide ribosomal RNA is filed under the name Prevotella corporis. RNAcentral's name for it is "partial 23S ribosomal RNA". It matches the Rfam family "Bacterial large subunit ribosomal RNA", at positions 2793 to 2925 of the family's 2925-position model. The record is from RNAcentral. Lineage: Bacteria; Pseudomonadati; Bacteroidota; Bacteroidia; Bacteroidales; Prevotellaceae.